RNAcentral lists this microRNA precursor (67 nucleotides) under Bombyx mori (domestic silkworm). RNAcentral's name for it is "mir-2774 microRNA precursor family". It matches the Rfam family "mir-2774 microRNA precursor family". Lineage: Eukaryota; Metazoa; Arthropoda; Insecta; Lepidoptera; Bombycidae. The record is from Rfam by way of RNAcentral.
AUGACAAUCGAAUGGUCGGUCUACCGAGCAAUAUCACCCGCUCAGUGGAAGAUCUUUCCUUUUUUAU